Molecule: ribosomal RNA, 567 nt
Filed under: Triticum aestivum (bread wheat)
Lineage: Eukaryota; Viridiplantae; Streptophyta; Magnoliopsida; Poales; Poaceae
Description: partial small subunit ribosomal RNA
Source: RNAcentral
AUGCUGUUUGACUUAGCAUGCCCGGAUGUUGCCAAGAGGCAAGGAUUGUUCGAAGCAACACCAACACAUUUUAUUCUUCAUGACAUGCACAUACAUCUUUCACUGGAGCGCAUUGCCAGCAUGCCUGAUUACCAAAGCUACUGCAUCACCGUUGCUUCAGUGUGUAGCCUCAUCUCCGAGUACGAUGUGAUCCGCACCUAUUGUUUACUUGAUAUUAUUGGUCACAGGUCUUUGUUUGCUGCUUUCUUGGCAUUGCCGUGGGAUCCUGGACAGCAAACAAAUGCUGGUACCAAAUACCUAGCUAGCAUUGGUAUAACUGCAGCUAUUUGUGUUCGACCUCUCAGUUGUUCAUGGACUUCAGUUGAGUUGAAAGCCUGGUCUCCAUCGUUGCGGCAUGUUCCUGGUCAACAUUACAUGUGGCUGAUGAUUUGGAGGAUAACUGACGAUAGACCUAUUACUGCAUGUUUGGUUAUGCUACAGACCACUGAAUUUUGUUCCAAAGAAGUGAGCUCAUGGAAGAUAUCUGGUUUCAAUAUCAUUAUCAGUAUCCAAGCUGACUACUGGUGA